AUUGAACGCUGGCGGAAUGCUUUACAUAUGCAAGUCGAACGGCAGCACGGGGGCAGCCCUGGUGGCGAGUGGCGAACGGGUGAGUAAUACAUCGGAACGUGCCCGGUCGUGGGGGAUAACGUAGCGAAAGUUACGCUAAUACCGCAUACGAUCUGAGGAUGAAAGCGGGGGACCUUCGGGCCUCGCGCGAUCGGAGCGGCCGAUGUCAGAUUAGGUAGUUGGUGGGGUAAAGGCCUACCAAGCCGACGAUCUGUAGCUGGUCUGAGAGGACGACCAGCCACACUGGGACUGAGACACGGCCCAGACUCCUACGGGAGGCAGCAGUGGGGAAUUUUGGACAAUGGGCGCAAGCCUGAUCCAGCCAUUCCGCGUGCAGGACGAAGGCCUUCGGGUUGUAAACUGCUUUUGUACGGAACGAAAAGGCUCUGGCUAAUACCUGGGGCUCAUGACGGUACCGUAAGAAUAAGCACCGGCUAACUACGUG
Molecule: ribosomal RNA, 484 nt
Filed under: uncultured bacterium
Lineage: Bacteria
Description: partial 16S ribosomal RNA
Rfam family: Bacterial small subunit ribosomal RNA
Source: RNAcentral